CCUACGGGAGGCAGCAGUGAGGAAUAUUGGUCAAUGGACGAGAGUCUGAACCAGCCAAGUAGCGUGAAGGAUGACUGCACUAUGGGUUGUACACUUCUUUUAUAAAGGAAUAAAACGAGGCACGUGUGCCUUUUUGCAUGGACGUUAUGAAUAAGGAUAGGCUACUUCCGUACCAGCAGCCGCGGUAAUACGGAGGAUCCGAGCGUUAUCCGGAUUUCUGUGUUUUAAAGGUAGCGUAGUUGGGUUGUUAAGUAAGUUGUGAAAGUUUGCUGCUCAACCGUAAAAUUGCAAUUAAUCCGGGCAGUCUUGAGUACAGUUGAGGUAGGCGGAAUUCGUGGUGUAGCGGUGAAAUGCUUAGAUAUCACGAAGAACCCCGAUUGCGAAGGCAGCUUACUAAACUGUGACUGACAUUGAUGCUCGAAAGUGUGGGUAUCAAACAGGAUUAGAUACCCCAGUAGUC
RNAcentral lists this ribosomal RNA (460 nucleotides) under uncultured bacterium. RNAcentral's name for it is "partial 16S ribosomal RNA". It matches the Rfam family "Bacterial small subunit ribosomal RNA", at positions 338 to 795 of the family's 1533-position model. The record is from RNAcentral.